This 253-nucleotide ribosomal RNA is filed under the name uncultured bacterium. Its description in RNAcentral is "partial 16S ribosomal RNA". It matches the Rfam family "Bacterial small subunit ribosomal RNA", at positions 524 to 776 of the family's 1533-position model. The record is from RNAcentral.
UACGAAGGGGGCUAGCGUUGUUCGGAAUUACUGGGCGUAAAGCGCGCGCAGGCGGCUAUCCAAGUCAGUGGUGAAAGCCCGGAGCUCAACUCCGGAACUGCCAUUGAAACUGUUUAGCUUGAGGAUGAGAGAGGUGAGUGGAAUUCCCAGUGUAGAGGUGAAAUUCGUAGAUAUUGGGAAGAACCCCGGUGGCGAAGGCGGCUCACUGGCUCAUUACUGACGCUCAGGCACGAAAGCGUGGGGAGCAAACAGG